Molecule: ribosomal RNA, 445 nt
Filed under: uncultured Mycobacterium sp.
Lineage: Bacteria; Bacillati; Actinomycetota; Actinomycetes; Mycobacteriales; Mycobacteriaceae
Description: bacterial SSU rRNA
Rfam family: Bacterial small subunit ribosomal RNA
Source: RNAcentral
CCUACGGGCGGCUGCAGUGGGGAAUAUUGCACAAUGGGCGCAAGCCUGAUGCAGCGACGCCGCGUGGGGGAUGACGGCCUUCGGGUUGUAAACCUCUUUCAAUAGGGACGAAGCGCAAGUGACGGUACCUAUAGAAGAAGGACCGGCCAACUACGUGCCAGCAGCCGCGGUAAUACGUAGGGUCCGAGCGUUGUCCGGAAUUACUGGGCGUAAAGAGCUCGUAGGUGGUUUGUCGCGUUGUUCGUGAAAACUCACAGCUUAACUGUGGGCGUGCGGGCGAUACGGGCAGACUGGAGUACUGCAGGGGAGACUGGAAUUCCUGGUGUAGCGGUGGAAUGCGCAGAUAUCAGGAGGAACACCGGUGGCGAAGGCGGGUCUCUGGGCAGUAACUGACGCUGAGGAGCGAAAGCGUGGGGAGCGAACAGGAUUAGAUACCCUGGUAGUC